RNAcentral lists this ribosomal RNA (459 nucleotides) under uncultured bacterium. RNAcentral describes it as "partial 16S ribosomal RNA". It matches the Rfam family "Bacterial small subunit ribosomal RNA", at positions 338 to 795 of the family's 1533-position model. The record is from RNAcentral.
CCUACGUGUGGCAGCAGUGAGGAAUAUUGGUCAAUGGGCGCGAGCCUGAACCAGCCAAGUCGCGUGAGGGAAGACGGUCCUAUGGAUUGUAAACCUCUUUUGUCGGGGAGCAAAAGACGCCACGCGUGGCGUUCCGAGAGUACCCGAAGAAACAGCAUCGGCUAACUCCGUACCAGCAGCCGCGGUAAUACGGAGGGUGCGAGCGUUAGCCGGAUUUAUGGGGUUUAAAGGUUGCGCAGACGGAAGAUAAAGUCAGCGGUAAAAUUAAGAGGCUCAACCUCUUCGAGCCGUGGAUACUGGUAUUCUUGAGUGAGAGAGAAGUAUGCGGAAUGCGUGGUGUAGCGGUGAAAUGCAUAGAUAUCACGAAGAACUCCGAUUGCGAAGGCAGCAUACCGGCUCUCAACUGACGCUCAUGCACGAAAGUGUGGGUAUCGAACAGGAUUAGAUACCCUAGUAGUC